CCCUUGCCAGAUAGACGACUUCAACUGCUGCCAGCUACUGGGAAUUUGUGAGUGUGAAAUAAGCAGAGCUAAAGCACUUCUUAAGAUUCAGUGGCAGACACUUAUCAUGCAUUGUUUCCAGAAGGAACUCCCAUGGAGUUUCAACGCAUCUUGGAACUCAAAGGUCUUAAGAAAGCUGAUCAGCAGAUCAUACUUGAUGAUUUCAACAAGUAUGGCCCAGGGUUGACAUAGCCCUCUGUUUCAGGGGCAAUGCCACAAGUGGUUCCAAUUUA
Molecule: long non-coding RNA, 272 nt
Organism: Brassica oleracea var. oleracea
Lineage: Eukaryota; Viridiplantae; Streptophyta; Magnoliopsida; Brassicales; Brassicaceae
Exons: 3
Source: RefSeq, a predicted model, not a curated record